CCAGAGUUGCACCUGGAUUUUGUUUCAGAAGGAAUUCAUCAGCUCACUCCAAAAGACAGCCUGUCAUUUCUCCCACACGUUGGAGGCCAGCAUCCUUCCCUUACCACUGACAGGUUCAGAGGCCUUACAAGGAGUAACCAAAGCCUGCUGGACUUACCACAUCCUUAGAAGAACAUCGUCACUGGAUAUAACCAAAAACUGCUCUUGAAAAGAGGGGAAAGGAGAGGAGCAAAAUGGAAGAGUGAAGAAAGAAGACUUGGGCUGGAGAAUGUGAUCAGUGAUUUACAUUAAAGAUGCUAAUGGGAAGAGAAGAGAGCUAGACCGCUCACUAAUGUUGGAGCAAAAGAACUUUUGAUUUCAAAAUGGCUGACUACACAUAAAACUAAUUAGCUAAAUUCAAACAAAGGAAUACACUAUGCCUCCAGGAUAAACUGAGCAAACUCAUGUGGCAAAGUGCAAGGUAGUGUGGGAUUUUGAGCAUAUUUUUGCAGUAGGCCCUUUGAAGUCUCUCAGCUAAAGCUCAAAAUCAUACAGGAUUUCAUCAGAACUACUGUACACUUCAUUUGCUCAACAGUGCAUUUGUGCAUAUAUAUUUGGGGGCAGGUUUCCAAACAUUUAAUGUCUCUUUCCUUCCUUUGGGAAAGGAUAAUUUCGGUCAUUGGUCUCUAAAGAACUUUUUCCAACAACGGUUUUGAUUUGCUCAAGGAAAGGGAAUGGGAAUUCUAUUAGAAGCAAAUGCAUAGCAGAGACAUCUACUACCGCCCUUUAACUGCUUGAGACUUUGCUCUUGUGUGUUUUAUUCACCUCAUAAAAAAAGCUUAGAACCUUGUAAAAAAUAUAUAUCACAGAAAAGAUGUGAGACUUAGCACAAAUAUAUACCACACACAUAGGGUGGUCUUUUCUUUGCAUGUAUUCAGUAAACUUUGUUGUUGUUGUUGUUUUUGUGAACUUCCCAUUGUUUCCUCAUAUUCAAAUUUGAUUUAGCUUGGACCAUGUCACCUCCGUUGUUGUAGGUUUUCUCUGUCUUUACAAAUUUGUAGCUACCCAAUAAAGAAAAGAGAGCAAAAGAUAGA
Long non-coding RNA from Dromaius novaehollandiae (emu), 1073 nucleotides. RefSeq lists it as uncharacterized. Lineage: Eukaryota; Metazoa; Chordata; Aves; Casuariiformes; Dromaiidae. The record is from RefSeq and is a predicted model, not a curated record. The transcript is spliced from 2 exons.